This 1330-nucleotide long non-coding RNA is filed under the name Homo sapiens (human). RNAcentral describes it as "long non-coding RNA NONHSAT212427.1". The record is from RNAcentral. Lineage: Eukaryota; Metazoa; Chordata; Mammalia; Primates; Hominidae.
GCCGUUUUGGGGUCGCAGCGGGGUGGCAGCUUGUUUUGCCUUCACGGGAGUAGAAGGAGGCGGCGUCCGGCCGCGGCCGACGGUAGUUCGCUUCCCCGAGAGUGCGCGGAGGCCCGGGUGCGAGGAGGGCCUGUUUCUCUUCAGCCCUGGUUCAUUCACCUCGCGGACCGAGGGCCCCGCCGUCAGGAGCCGGCGACCGUGCCCUGUGAUGGUCAUUGUCCUCCAGAGCAGUGAUGGAGGAAAUACCAGCCCAGGAAGCAGCAGGGUCACCAAGGGUCCAGUUUCAGUCUUUGGAGACCCAGUCUGAGUGUCUGUCCCCAGAGCCUCAGUUUGUGCAGGACACCGACAUGGAACAGGGACUCACUGGGGGAGUUUGUGACAUUCGAGGAUGUGGCUGUGCACCUUACUCGAGAGGAAUGGGGAUACCUGGACCCUGUUCAGAGGGACCUCUACAGAGAAGUGAUGUUAGAGAAUUAUGGGAACGUGGUCUCACUGGGCAUACUUCUCCGCCUUCCCACCACCCGGAUUCAUAGUGUGAAUUCCUGCCCGGCCCUGAGUCAUACCCAGGCAAGUGCUUUCUCUGGAGAAACACUUGCCGUCCUUACAGCAGGAAUCUCCAAGAGAUGGCCCAAGUAUCGGCUUCCCAUCGAUAUUGCUCGUCCCUGCUCGGAAACUCCUUUUCCACGAUUGUGAGAUAUUAAAAUUGACUGAUGGAAUAGAAGCUCCCCAGGAUGCCACCACUGUGUAAAAUCGCAGCUCCUCAAAUUACCUCUGUUUAAUUUCAAAUGUUAGGGUCCAAGGAAGCCCUCUGUUGCAACCAGAUAUGUUUUGAACCCAGUUCAUUCAGAAACCAUGGUUGGUGGUCAUCAUCUACUUGUAUUGUGAAAAACCAGAAAUUCCAAAUUCAGCUCUUCAGUUAUGGUCUUUUCAUAUUAUUUUAGAAUGUGAAACUUAUGCUGUGUGCCCCUCCUUUUAUGUGGCGAACACAACCUGCCCCGUAUGGUGCCUAACUCUCCUGUGAACCCUGGGCUUCCCUCAUGUUUAACAUUCUGGUUUCCUCCUUCCUUGAAGUCCCUGUGGCCCUCUUCAAGGUCCUACCUUCCUACCCUUUAUUCUUUGUGGUUCUGUACAGAUUGAUGCAAUUAUAUUGCCUUUCCUGAUUAAGUGUUCCUUACUCUGUCCUUGAUGGAGGGGAGAAGGGAGGGCAAAGAAGUUAAAUUUAUUUCAGGGCAUCAAAUUGAAUAUCUACUUAAUAACUUUGUAAACUGUAAAGUGACAUACAUAUAAUUGUAAAGUACUGUUAAUUUUAUCUAAUAAUUACAGAGUUUCC